RNAcentral lists this ribosomal RNA (433 nucleotides) under uncultured bacterium. Its description in RNAcentral is "partial 16S ribosomal RNA". It matches the Rfam family "Bacterial small subunit ribosomal RNA", at positions 29 to 507 of the family's 1533-position model. The record is from RNAcentral.
AACGAACGCUGGCGGCAUGCCUAACACAUGCAAGUCGAACGAGACCUUCGGGUCUAGUGGCCCACGGGGGCGUAACGCGUGGGGACCUGCCCUUGGGUUCGGCAUAACUCCCCGAAUGGGGUACUAAUACCGGAUAAUAUCUUCGAACCGAAGAUUUAUCGCCUUUGGAUGGGCCCGCGUGGCAUUAGCUGGUUGUGAGGGUAAAAGCCUACCAAGGCGCGGAUAGAUAGAUGGUCUGAGAGGCAGAGCACCGACACUGGGAGGCGGAAACGACCCAGACUCCUACGGGAGGCGGGAGUGGGGGAUAUAGGAAAGCGGGGGGAGGGAUGAACGAGCAAUGCCGGGAGAGUGAUGAAGGCCUUAGAGUAGUAAAGCUCUUUUACCCGGGAUGAUAAUGACAGUACCGGAAGAAUAAGCACCGGCUAACUCCGUG